Molecule: long non-coding RNA, 575 nt
Filed under: Olea europaea subsp. europaea
Lineage: Eukaryota; Viridiplantae; Streptophyta; Magnoliopsida; Lamiales; Oleaceae
Source: RNAcentral
CCAAUAUAAAAACCAAGCCAAGCAUAUUAUAGAAAUUAAACAAAGAAAUGAUAAAAGACAUCACCAAAAAUCGACUAAACGUGAUAAAUUCAUCAAUUAAAGAUGCCUUUUUCUUUCCUUUCUGUGCGCAUAUAAUAUUGGCUGCCUCUUUCUUCUUCAAUCCUCUUUAAAGCUGCUACAUUUAAUCUUCUGCGUCUCUAUAGGCGUGUAUGUAUAUAUGUAGCAAAUAGCCCCUUUUUUCACUCCCACAGCCGCCAUUUUGACUCCAAUUUUGUAAUAUUUCAAUUCUUCUCCACCCACCUGCUUUUCUGCCUCAAAUUCCUCAAUGUUCAUAAUCCAAUUUCUCCCCAGCCGGCUCUCAAAUUUUCUUCUUUUGCGUAAUCUGAUAAUCCUAGUGUAAUGCAUUAAUUUAAAGAAAAAAAAAAGGUCAAGUCAAAGAUGUCAAGCUUUAAAAAAAAUAAAAAAAUGGCCAAAACAGUGAGGCAGUGAAUUGGAUUAUAUCAAUCCAAUUCACAUUAAACAAACCCAUUAUCUUUAAAAAAAGAAAAAAAAAAAGACACAAUACACCCAACAAG